UCAAAAGCCACCCUUCCAAGGUAACCUAUAAAUACAUCAACAAUUCACCAUUUUCAGCCCUUCAAUACUUAAACAAGCAUGGAGUCAACAUUAGCAUGAGUGGCUACGCAUUUUGUAAUCACACCUAGGUUUACUCAUGGCACUCCUUUUGAUAGUGUUGUUCAGUCUAAUUUCAGCAAGUAAGCCCAUGAAACACUCGUGUAAGCAAGGGGACUACAAUUAGGAACGCUCUCAAAUACCUUGGAUGAUCAUAAGACGAGCCGAUACUGAAUACCAAAAUGGGUGAAAAAAUGAGUACUGAACUUAUGCAUGUAUGCCAUUUGAUUUGUUAAUCCAUAAGACCAUAACUAAAUUCAUCUCAAGUUUUAUGUUUCAUGUAUGCAGACCAUAAGCUAAUGAAUGAGUUUUAUACCACAAUGUCAUCUUUAUGUAUGUAUGUAUGUAUGUACUCCAACUCUGCCAUUUCUAUUAGACUUUUGUCCCAGUUUUGCCAAUUAUCA
Lactuca sativa (garden lettuce) is the source of this 500-nucleotide long non-coding RNA. RefSeq lists it as uncharacterized. Lineage: Eukaryota; Viridiplantae; Streptophyta; Magnoliopsida; Asterales; Asteraceae. The record is from RefSeq and is a predicted model, not a curated record.